Long non-coding RNA from Amphimedon queenslandica, 308 nucleotides. RefSeq lists it as uncharacterized. The record is from RefSeq and is a predicted model, not a curated record. Lineage: Eukaryota; Metazoa; Porifera; Demospongiae; Haplosclerida; Niphatidae. The transcript is spliced from 4 exons.
AACUCGAGAAACUUAUUAUGUGCUCUCACUAACUCUAAUCUAUGCAAUGAAGCUAAACUUGUCAAACUGUUCAGACCGAAUAUCAAUAUUCCACCUACAAGUAGUUUGAGAAACGAAGCAACUAAACUUGGUCUCUUGUUCAUAUUCUAUCUUGAGAAUGAGUCUAAUGUUAAUAUACAGCCCACAGAUAAUCUGAGAGUUCUAAAAAAUGAAGCUGCCAAGAUUCAACUUCUCUUUACGGCUUACCUUGAAAAGAAAUCAACAACUCCUGGAUAAAAAUCGGUCAAUCCAAACUUUCCAUUCUAAAC